UUCUAAGGCAUCCUCAUACUUGCACCGUCAUUGUUACAUGAUUUGACGCAUGGGUUCCUGACACUUCCCAACUGCACCUAAGGCAAAUUGAAUACAAGGUACUCGUAGAUCUACCAGACUGAAAGGGAGUCAAAGUCAUGUAUGAAGAAUUGUAUGAAGAGAAAAGAAAAAAUGGCGGGAGCUACACACAUGGCAAAGGAGAACAUGGCCAGGCGUUGGGCAGCUUUAAAUAAUCCAAGGUCGCGGUAAUGUGUUUAGGGGAUGACGAACAGCAGGUCACGAAUCUCGGGGUACGACGAGCACACCGAAUCAAAAGAAGCAUCAAUCUUCCACUCACUCCCUACCACAACAUAUUGCUGUCAUAUCCAGGGAUCACCAUCUUGGCCUUCAAACGUCGUCUACUAAGAAGUAAAGUCUCUUCCGUGUUUGCCAUACCAACCAAAGAAGCCUAAUCAUAGUUUGCUAUGUGACCCGGGUUGAAAUGCAACCACAAUACGAGAGCGAAUUCGAAAGCGGUGAUCUUCGGAGUCAUCCUUAACACUUCUUAAAGGAUGUACCAUGACAUAGAGGUGAACAAAACAUACAAAAUUUGAUGUAAAUGAUGCAUUAAA
Long non-coding RNA from Penaeus monodon (black tiger shrimp), 611 nucleotides. RefSeq lists it as uncharacterized. The record is from RefSeq and is a predicted model, not a curated record. The transcript is spliced from 3 exons. Lineage: Eukaryota; Metazoa; Arthropoda; Malacostraca; Decapoda; Penaeidae.